This 460-nucleotide ribosomal RNA is filed under the name uncultured bacterium. RNAcentral's name for it is "partial 16S ribosomal RNA". It matches the Rfam family "Bacterial small subunit ribosomal RNA", at positions 338 to 795 of the family's 1533-position model. The record is from RNAcentral.
CCUAGGGGAGGCAGCAGUGAGGAAUAUUGGUCAAUGGGCGAGAGCCUGAACCAGCCAAGUCGCGUGAGGGAAGACGGUCCUAUGGAUUGUAAACCUCUUUUGCCGGGGAGCAAAAAGCGGUACGUGUACCGCAUCGAGAGUACCCGGAGAAAAAGCAUCGGCUAACUCCGUGCCAGCAGCCGCGGUAAUACGGAGGGGGCAAGCGUUAUCCGGAAUUACUGGGUGUAAAGGGAGCGUAGACGGUUAAGUAAGUCUGGAGUGAAAGGCCGGGGCCCAACCCCGGGACUGCUCUGGAAACUAUUGAACUUGAGUGCAGGAGAGGUAAGCGGAAUUCCUAGUGUAGCGGUGAAAUGCGUAGAUAUUAGGAGGAACACCAGUGGCGAAGGCGGCUUACUGGACUGUAACUGACGUUGAGGCUCGAAAGCGUGGGGAGCAAACAGGAUUAGAUACCCGAGUAGUC